AACCUGGCCUUCGGGCCUGGGGAAAGCGGCGAACGGGUGAGUAACACGUGGGUAACCCACCCUUGGUACUGGGAUAGCCCGGGGAAACCCGGAUUAAUACCGGAUGGCCCAACAGCUCUUCGGGGCGGUUGGAAAAGGUAGCUUCGGCCUCCGACCAAGGACGGGCCCGCGGCGGAUUAGCUUGUUGGUGGGGUAACGGCCUACCAAGGCGACGAUCCGUAGCUGGUCUGAGAGGACGAUCAGCCACACUGGGACUGAGACACGGCCCAGACUCCUACGGGAGGCAGCAGUGGGGAAUCUUGCGCAAUGGGCGAAAGCCUGACGCAGCGACGCCGCGUGGGGGAAGAAGGCUUUCGGGUUGUAAACCUCUUUCAGGAAGGACGAAGCCACUCGGGUUAAUAGCCCAGAGGGUGACGGUACUUCCAGAAGAAGCCCCGGCUAACUACGUGCCAGCAGCCGCGGUAAUACGUAGGGGGCAAGCGUUGUCCGGAUUUAUUGGGCGUAAAGAGCGUGUAGGCGGUUUGGUAGGUCCGCUGUGAAAACUCGAGGCUCAACCUCGAGACGCCGGUGGAAACCAUCAGACUAGAGUCCGGAAGAGGAGAGUGGAAUUCCUGGUGUAGCGGUGAAAUGCGCAGAUAUCAGGAAGAACACCCGUGGCUAAGGCGGCUCUCUAGUACGGUACUGACGCUGAGACGCGAAAGCGUGGGGAGCGAACAGGAUUAGAUACCCUGGUAGUCCACGCCGUAAACGAUGGGUGCUAGGUGUAGGGGGUGUCGACUCCCUCUGUGCCGAAGCUAACGCAUUAAGCA
This 809-nucleotide ribosomal RNA is filed under the name uncultured Actinomycetes bacterium. RNAcentral describes it as "bacterial SSU rRNA". It matches the Rfam family "Bacterial small subunit ribosomal RNA", at positions 70 to 866 of the family's 1533-position model. The record is from RNAcentral. Lineage: Bacteria; Bacillati; Actinomycetota; Actinomycetes.